RNAcentral lists this ribosomal RNA (492 nucleotides) under uncultured bacterium. RNAcentral describes it as "partial 16S ribosomal RNA". It matches the Rfam family "Bacterial small subunit ribosomal RNA", at positions 29 to 507 of the family's 1533-position model. The record is from RNAcentral.
AGUGAACGCUGGCGGUAGGCCUAACACAUGCAAGUCGAACGGCAGCACAGUAAGAGCUUGCUCUUACGGGUGGCGAGUGGCGGACGGGUGAGGAAUACAUCGGAAUCUACUUUUUCGUGGGGGAUAACGUAGGGAAACUUACGCUAAUACCGCAUACGACCUACGGGUGAAAGCAGGGGAUCUUCGGACCUUGCGCGAUUGAAUGAGCCGAUGUCGGAUUAGCUAGUUGGCGGGGUAAAGGCCCACCAAGGCGACGAUCCGUAGCUGGUCUGAGAGGAUGAUCAGCCACACUGGAACUGAGACACGGUCCAGACUCCUACGGGAGGCAGCAGUGGGGAAUAUUGGACAAUGGGCGCAAGCCUGAUCCAGCCAGACCGCGUGGGUGAAGAAGGCCUUCGGGUUGUAAAGCCCUUUUGUUAGGAAAGAAAAGCAGCAGGCUAAUACCCCGCUGUUCUGACGGUACCCAAAGAAUAAGCACCGGCUAACUUCGUG